This 475-nucleotide ribosomal RNA is filed under the name uncultured bacterium. RNAcentral describes it as "partial 16S ribosomal RNA". It matches the Rfam family "Bacterial small subunit ribosomal RNA", at positions 31 to 542 of the family's 1533-position model. The record is from RNAcentral.
AGCGAACGCUGGCGGCAGGCCUAACACAUGCAAGUCGAACGAACCUUUCGGGGUUAGUGGCGGACGGGUGAGUAACACGUGGGAACGUGCCUUUAGGUUCGGAAUAACUCAGGGAAACUUGUGCUAAUACCGAAUGUGCCCUUCGGGGGAAAGAUUAAUCGCCUUUAGAGCGGCCCGCGUCUGAUUAGCUAGUUGGUUGAGGUAAUGGCUCACCAAGGCGACGAUCAGUAGCUGGUCUGAGAGGAUGAUCAGCCACAUUGGGACUGAGACACGGCCCAAAAGACGAGGGGAGGAAGCAGGGGGAAAGCGCGCGAAGGGGGAGAAGGCCGGAAGCGGCCAUGGGGAGAGAAUGAUGAGUGUCGUAGGAUUAUAAAAUGCGUCCAGCGGGGAAGACAAUGACGCUACGAGGAGAAGAAGCCCCGGCUAGCUGCGGGCCAGCAGCGGCGGGAAGAGAGCGGAAGAGACACGUUUGAUC